AGUUCUAUGGCUGAUUAAACCAGGUGAAAUGCAGGCUUUAAGUAAGCCAGUCACAGAAUCUGUGUAAUGGCUAUCCUGAGCUUUUGUCAUGUGUGUUGCCAUUUUUAAUACUGUGUGCAGCUGAUUGUGUGAAUUAUUGGAGUGAUCCAGAUCUCUGCAUGUUUACUGAAUAUUCUAUUCAACUGCCACACAUCACAGCAAGUGCAACAGUUUGGCUCAUUUUCAAAUACAAACCUCUGCCUGUUUACUGGAUUCCACUGUCUGUGUCCACUCACCUCUACAAGUUUAAUGGAUUGCCUCAUCUCCCUGCCACUAACUCCUGCUGAAUGAUUGAACCUCUUACAGCAUUACUGAUCCUCUCCAUGCAUUGCAAACUGGGUCCCCAUGGUAACGCGGCCUGGCCGGGCGCCGUGACGUCACUUCCGCAUCAUGUGGUAUGCAUCAUGUGGUGCGCUGUGGACGCCGGGCUGAGAGCGCGGGAGACGCGGCCGUGGAAGACGCUGGCGGGGAAACUGAUCAGGGGGGAGUCUGGAAAAUGUGUCUUGAAGAAAUCCAAUACUUGGUCUUCUGUGCAGAUUUUUUCAAAGUCUUCAAAGGGCAUGAACAGAGUGCAUGUAAAAGACUUAUCCUGGGAGCAUAAAAUAAAACUUCAUUAGGCCUUGAACCAGCUUCUGAACUACCUAAAUGGCCUACUAUCAAGGGACAUAUACCAUCUCCAGUACUCUUGCUGCCUUGGCCGAAAAACAAUUCAGGACACCGUACAUUUAGUGAGGACAAUUGCCUUCCUGAACCGUGGACAGGAUCCUGCUUCAAGCGGUGACUAUUGUGGGCACACACUCUUUCCUUACCAACUGUGCAUUAUACUCAGGAGUACUGUAUGUUGAACUAUAUCAUUCUAAACAGUCGUAGUCCAGAAUUGUUAUAGGAACAAGCCUUACUAUAUACUGUUACUGUUUGUGCUGUGUGGGUGUUGAACAUUUUUUUGUGCAUAUAUCUGAGUGUGUGUCAUGUUGCUGUGCAUAUAUGUGUGUGUGCGUUUCAGGCCGCUGUCCUUAUAUGUGAGUGUGUGUCAGGCCUUUGUGAGUAUUUCUGAGUGUGUGAGGCCGCUGUGCAUAUAUGUGUGUGUCACACCACGAUGUGUAUAUAUGUGUGUAUGUCAAGCCACUGUGCGUAUGUGUGUGUGUGUGGUAGCCAACUGUGCAUAUACAUAUCUCCCAACUGUCCCGAUUUUCGGGGACUGUCCCGCUGUCCCGCCCGCGGGCCACAGUGUCCCGCGGUGGGGGGCAGUUGGGAGGCUCUGUCUCUCGCUGCGCUGCUUAGCAGAGCAGCGGUGAAUAGACGCUGUGCGCAUGCGCACAACGUCUAUUCACUGAAGUCAGAGGGAGAGGGGGCAUGCCAGCGACUCACAGAGCGCUGGGCAUGCCCUUUCAGUGACAAAAAUGGGGCGUGGCUCGCGACCGCGGGUCCUCCAUGAAGCCACACCCCUUUCCUUAGGUCACGCCCCUUCGCCGCGCGUGUGUCCCUCUUUAUAAAGAUGAAAUGUUGGGAGGUAUGUGUAUAUGUGUGUGUCAGGCCACUGUGCUGUGUGUGUCAGGCCACUGUGCUGUGUUUAUGUGUGUAUGUGUCAGGCUACUGUGCUGUGUGUAUAUGUGUGUGUGUGUGUCAGGCCACUGUACUGUUAGACCAGAUGUCUUUUGCUGCAGAGCUUCACCUACAUCAGCCAGUGUCUUGCACCGGUGUUUAGCCCAGUAGACAGAGCCAAGUUUACAGCUCGAGCACUAGCACAUGGGGGGUAAUUCGGACCUGAUCGUAGCAGCAAAUUUGUUA
Molecule: long non-coding RNA, 1827 nt
Organism: Pseudophryne corroboree (corroboree frog)
Lineage: Eukaryota; Metazoa; Chordata; Amphibia; Anura; Myobatrachidae
Exons: 5
Source: RefSeq, a predicted model, not a curated record